CCAGACUCCUACGGGAGGCAGCAGUGGGGAAUAUUGCACAAUGGGGGAAACCCUGAUGCAGCGACGCCGCGUGAGUGAAGAAGUAUUUCGGUAUGUAAAGCUCUAUCAGCAGGAACGAGACAAGACGGUACCUGACUAAGAAGCCCCGGCUAACUACGUGCCAGCAGCCGCGGUAAUACGUAGGGGGCAAGCGUUAUCCGGAAUCACUGGGUGUAAAGGGAGCGUAGACGGCUGUGCAAGCCUGAAGUGAAAGGCGGGGGCCCAACCCCUGGACUGCUCUUGGAACUGCGCGGCUGGAGUGCAGGAGGGGCAGGCGGAAUUCCUGGUGUAGCGGUGAAAUGCGUAGAUAUCAGGAGGAACACCGGUGGCGAAGGCGGCCUGCUGGACUGCGACUGACGUUGAGGCCCGAAAGCGUGGGGAGCAAACAGGAUUAGAUACCCGGGUA
This 445-nucleotide ribosomal RNA is filed under the name uncultured bacterium. RNAcentral describes it as "bacterial SSU rRNA". It matches the Rfam family "Bacterial small subunit ribosomal RNA", at positions 331 to 792 of the family's 1533-position model. The record is from RNAcentral.